Papaver somniferum (opium poppy) is the source of this 996-nucleotide long non-coding RNA. RefSeq lists it as uncharacterized. NCBI's taxonomy places the organism in Eukaryota, Viridiplantae, Streptophyta, Magnoliopsida, Ranunculales, Papaveraceae. The record is from RefSeq and is a predicted model, not a curated record. The transcript has 2 exons.
UCUCUGUUCCGCAAGUUCCAGUUUCGCCUCCCAUUAAACUUCUCUGAUUCUGUAAUCCAUUUUCUUUCUCUUAAUUCAUUUAUUGCAAAGAAGCAAGUUAUCGUAUGGUGUUUGAAUUGAAUCUUGGUUUUGUAUGGGAACCUCCAUGGGAUUCAUUCACCAAUGACCUUUCUCAGAGCAUGAUGGUAUUUACUCUCACAAAGACACGGUCCGUAAGCUGUGUGGCACUGAAUUGAAGAACUUAUUGGAAUUGGAAGGUCUACGUUGAAAACGUUUCAGCAUUGCAGUUUCAGAUGUGUGCCUUUGAGUUUUCCACAAACAAAUUCACCAUGAACAUGUACAGAUAUUCAAGUGGUAUCGAAUUGCUUGUUCAACUUAUAGUAUCCAAUUUCUUGAACGACCUGCAACUGUCAGUGUAGGAAUUGGAAAAUCCCUUACGAUGAUCUUCUGGCUGUUAAGAAGAUGAAGGAAACAAUUGCAAAUCCUCAACUCACCAUCUCAAUAUGCAUACCAAGAUAAUUCAGUUGGUGAGUUGAGGAUUUGCAGCUGUUUCCUUAAUCAAGCACAUUCUUAAUUUGCAUCCCACCAAGAUAAAAGAAACUAGACUUUUUAACAAGAAACAAGCACAUUACUCCUUUGUUCAUCUUAGAAUCAAGCAUACUCUUUUCUACAAUAAGAAACUUCUAUGUCUCAGUAGGAGAUUUUCACCACCACGGCACCACCACCACAAGGAAAUUUAAUUGCACUAAAUGCAGUAUCCAUAACAAUCCGACUGCGGGGGAGCUGCCUGGAAAGCCGGAGGAAAGUCAAGUUCCUUUGUUGUUCUGAUCAGCAACUACUGACUUGUGUGACUGUUAAGAAUAUCAGGAAGGAAUUUGGUUGCCUGCUACGGGUUGACAGUGAAAAAUGGAAGGAAAGUGUUGUGUAAGAUUUUACAUUUUAGUAAUUCAAGAAUUGAUUUGUUGAACUAACGAACAAAUGUGGAUUUUACUUUUA